Molecule: long non-coding RNA, 3681 nt
Organism: Brassica rapa (field mustard)
Lineage: Eukaryota; Viridiplantae; Streptophyta; Magnoliopsida; Brassicales; Brassicaceae
Source: RefSeq, a predicted model, not a curated record
UAUAUAUAUACAUACGUAUAUGUAUAUGCUGCAUAUCUAAAUGUGUGCGCGUACGUAAUUGAUCUAGACCAUCUUAAUGUUGCAGGUCAAUGGUGGUUUUCCAGCAAAGGAGGCACAUUUGACAAUGUAAUAGAAGCCAUCAGAUGUGUUGAAUGUGAAGCUUUAGUUUGGGCUAUGAACUACAUAAAAACCUUACGGUUUUUAGAAGUGGUGUCUCAACAAAUUAUUUUUAACUGGUGAAAAUAGUAUGUACACCGAUAAAAUGGUCUGCUUUUACUUCCCACAUGGAUGAAUUUUAAAGAUAUAAUAAAAAGUUCUUCCCUAAUUCACAAUCAAACAUACUUCUAAAGCAAAUAAAACAAUAGCGUGUUUAUACAAGGUGUUCCGAAUAUGCAUGCUGCUAUAGUUUAUGCUGAUUUAAUUUCACCUAAUUGCUUGAUCAAUCGGUGUAUGUUUCGUAGUUGAGUAGAUAUUGUUGGUAAUACAAUUAUUAGUAUUUUUAAUAUAUAUUAUCUAUUAAUUCAUAUUUUAGUUUCAAUAUAUUCUCAAAUGGAAAAUUAGCAACAUUCCUUCCGAAGAGAAUUUGAAAUAUUGUCAUAAUUGGAAGCACAUUCCUAUAUGAGACAGCAGAACAUUUGUCCAUCCCUGAUUAACAUUUACCAUUCAAAAUAUGUACAUGCAUACAAGUACAAAGAAAAAUAAACUUUAGCCUUACCUCAUUGUCUCAUGCGCAAAAAGUUUCUUCUACUUUUGUUAAAAAUUUUAAAAUGCUAUUGUCAUUUUAUGAUGUAAUGAAGUUGUUGAAUCAAGUUUCACAUAAAUGUUUUUGGUAUUUCAUUCUAUCAAUUCAUUAUAUUUAUAACAUCUAGAUUUUAAAAUUUGCUGGGAGACUCUAUAUGGAUGUGAAAUGACAAACAUUUUACCUCUCUCCGCAAAGGAGAAAACAUUGCAUACAACAUGUUGUUUUUGCAUUUUACAUGUAUAUACAAAUAAUCAUGAAAAUAACUGCCAAACAUAUGUCAAAAAUUUUGUACUACUAUUCACUUUAUAUAACGAGGACAUUCACACGAAUUAUAAAUAUUAAUACACACACACAUACACAAAUUGUUAGAAUAUUCAAGUCAGUGUAAUUAAAAGGACGCCUUAUGCACGGUGGAAACACCCCAUUUAAAAAACGACGGUCAAAACUCAACAAAUUUCCUUAUUAAUAUAAAAUUAUAUCUGGUCGUUUAUUGCCUAACUCAUUGAGAAUAUGGAAGUUAAUCUCUUGUAGUUUUGUUAUUCUUCAAGUAUAUACAUGCCUUCUUCAUUGAUUAAUUUCACGUAUACGACUUGAGAACUGUAAAGCAGUCGAAAGACUAAAUAAAACUAGAAGAAAACGACUAAAAACUACUGUCCUUUUUGUCAACUGAUCCUUUCGACCAAACAACUAACAUUGUCAGAUUUUCGUCUAAUUUGCCAUUUAGACAUUUACCGAGAUCAAAUGCCAGACUACUACCAUAACAUUAUGAUGGCGAAAAACUAACCAUUAGAAAUGUUUAUUUUAUGAGCGAAAGAAAGAAAAAAACAAUUACAAAUAUUUGUCCCUUGAACGACCAUAUAUACCGGAUUGUCACCAAACUUACCAUCAUUUGACACCAGACCACCAGUUGAAUAUGUCAUUACAAAAAGUAAUCAGCUACGUACAUACUUUCAUUAGAGAUAUAUACUUAAGACAGACCAUCGCUUCUUUUAUUUUGCAGCGACAUUUGUGUUUUUUAGCAACAAAUAGUAAUCACUUUUAGGACUGGUUUAUAUUUAGAAGACACAGAUAUAAUAAAUUUAUAAGAUAAUAGAAACUAGAUUUUCACCCGCGCUAAAGCGUGGAAUAAUUCUUUGGUAACAAUUUUAUAUAAUCGCAUUUUCUCUUCAAUUAAAAUAGGUAUGAGUAUAAAAUCUGUAACCCAAAAUCCGUACAAAACUCAAUCCAACAAAAACUGAUCCGUACCCAGUCCGAAAUAUAAGAAAUCCCAUAAUAGGUCUUGUAGUGUGGUACACCACAUAUCUGAAUCCGAAGUGUUAUUAGCCGAAUCCGAAUGGACAACCUGAAAAACUAAAAAAUCCAAAAAAUCCAAAAAGCGACCCAAAGUCCAAAUUAAUUGCAAAUAUAAAUAUAUGAAACAUAAAUAUGUACUUAAAUAUAUUCAAUUCUAUAUUUAUUUUGAAAUUAUUUAUAAAAAUAAGUAUUUAAAUCUUCAAUAAGUACCUUAAAUAUCCAAUCAUAUGUAAAUAAGUUUAUUUCUUAUGUUUUUCUUUUCAAUUUUGGAUUUAACUUCGGAUAUAUCCGAACCGAACUCAUAUAACCUGAAUCGAAAUAAUAUAUGGUUCCUUUAUGAAUUUAGAUGUGAUACAAUUUAGAAGUAAAACCGAUGUGUUAUAUCUGAACUUGAUUUGUACUUACAAAUUUAUCAGAAUAAGACCUAAGAUGUGAUAUAAAUUAGAACCAAAAUUCUAAAUACCCAACUCGUAUCACAACGGGUACCUGAACGCUCAAGCCUAACUUAAAAUUUGUUUUAUGUUUUGUUCAAUUAGUUUUUUAUUUGACAAAUAUUUAUAUGUAUUGGAAUAAUCCGUGAAACUAUACUGAUAAAAAUAUCAAUAAUAACAUGUUCGAGCAUAUCAUGAAAUAUUAACGACUAUUACUAUUUAUUUUAUCAUAUGACUAUAUAUAUAUAAUUUUAAUACUUUAUCCAUAAGAAUUAUAUUAUUAUGUAUUUUGCGAGGAUGCUAAAGAAUAUUUUUUUUGCAUUUGAAUUAGAGUACAAUUGUAUAUAUGUAUUAGUAGGCAUAUAUAAUUCUUUUUAUAUUAAUAAAUUAAAAUAUAAUUGAUUAUUUACUUAAAAGUAGUAUAAAUAUAAAUUGAAUUCAUUACUAAAAAAUAGUAGAUUAGUUAUUUAGUUCUUUAAUUUUAGGUUAGAGUAUAUAUUUAAUAAUAAUUAAGUUAAGUAUAAGUAGAAAUAAUAGGAAAAUAGUUAAAUAUAUUGGUCCAACCUAGACUAUUUGUAAGUAGAUAAAAAAUAUAAUCUUAAAUUAAUAGAUUAGAUACACGAUUUUAUUAGGAAAAGAACUGACAAAAUAUUUCGAGUAUUUUAUAUUUUAUAUCUAUAUAUAUUGGGUUAGUUCAUAUGCAUGUAAUAAAAUUGGCCAAACAAACAUAGAAUAUGCUUAAGUGGAAAUAUAAUGACAUUAUUCCGAAAUAACGGUUUCAACUUGACCUCCACAUUAAAUUUAUCGCCCUCCCCAAAAUUAAUAAAUUAUACAUUUUGAUACACGAUUUAUACAAAUCGUAUAUUAUUAUUAUGUUGACAUUUUUUCGAAUGAAUAUGGUGACAAUUUUUAUGAUAAUUAGGUAAUAAUGUGAUGAUCUAACGCUACUAUCUUUGAAUUACUUUUCAAUAACUUCUUCGUACACGGUUUAGAUUAAUUUUCAAAAUGUCUUUGCCAAGUACUUUCCUUACAAAAAUACAAUUCAAUACAUCUACCUUUAUAUAUAUAAUAUAUACAUUUAUGUACCAAUUUACACAGUAAUAAUAUAAAUAUAUUUACUAUUUAUACACUAAUAUAUAACUCUCGACCGAUUGGAAUAUUAUUUAUUAUAGUAUUAAUAUAUCAUAUGUAGAUAAAUGAAAACCAAAAUAAGCU